RNAcentral lists this ribosomal RNA (512 nucleotides) under uncultured bacterium. Its description in RNAcentral is "bacterial SSU rRNA". It matches the Rfam family "Bacterial small subunit ribosomal RNA", at positions 28 to 526 of the family's 1533-position model. The record is from RNAcentral.
GACGAACGCUGGCGGCGUGCCUAACACAUGCAAGUGGAGCGACGAACCAGGGCUUGCCCUGGAGCAGAGCCGCGAACGGGUGAGUAACACGUGGGUAACCUGCCCCGAUGACCGGGACAACCCGAGGAAACUCGGGCUAAUACCGGAUGUGAUGUCCACACAUAAGUGUGUCCAUCAAAGGAAGCUUCGGCCUCCACAUUGGGAUGGGCCCGCGGCCCAUUAGCUAGUUGGUGGGGUAAAGGCCUACCAAGGCAACGAUGGGUAGCUGGUCUGAGAGGACGAUCAGCCACACUGGGACUGAGACACGGCCCAGACUCCUACGGGAGGCAGCAGUGGGGAAUCUUGCGCAAUGCGCGAAAGCGUGACGCAGCAACGCCGCGUGAGGGAAGACGGCCUUCGGGUUGUAAACCUCUUUCAGGAGGGACGAAGGUCCGCCCGCGAAUAGCGAGGCGGAUUGACGGUACCUCCAGAAGAAGCCCCGGCUAACUACGUGCCAGCAGCCGCGGUAAUAC